Molecule: non-coding RNA, 86 nt
Organism: Pelobates cultripes (western spadefoot toad)
Lineage: Eukaryota; Metazoa; Chordata; Amphibia; Anura; Pelobatidae
Source: the annotation of a GenBank genome assembly
ACCCUCCCUCCCAGACCCUCCUACUUCCUGGACAGCAUUUCAACAUGGAUGCUGUCCAGGAAGUAGGAGGGUCUGGGAGGGAGGGU